CUCUUAUCUAGAGUGGUGGAGGGACUGGCCCGAUGAAACCCAGCAGCCUGUACAACUGUACAAGGUGCUAAUUCCUGCGGUAUUUAUACCGAGAGAUGAGAG
Regulatory RNA element from Sporanaerobacter acetigenes DSM 13106, 102 nucleotides. It matches the Rfam family "SAM riboswitch aptamer (S box leader)". Rfam says of the family: The SAM riboswitch is found upstream of a number of genes which code for proteins involved in methionine or cysteine biosynthesis in Gram-positive bacteria. The record is from Rfam. NCBI's taxonomy places the organism in Bacteria, Bacillati, Bacillota, Tissierellia, Tissierellales, Sporanaerobacteraceae.